Long non-coding RNA from Solea senegalensis (Senegalese sole), 1587 nucleotides. RefSeq lists it as uncharacterized. NCBI's taxonomy places the organism in Eukaryota, Metazoa, Chordata, Actinopteri, Pleuronectiformes, Soleidae. The record is from RefSeq and is a predicted model, not a curated record. The transcript has 3 exons.
GAGAGAGAGAGAGAGAGAGAGAGAGAGAGAGAGAGAGGGAAAGAAAGAGAUCAAAGAUGGAGCACACCUCUCUUUGGAUGCCUCAAAUAUAGACCGCUGUGAUGCAGUCUCCAUGGCGACGGUCGUUGCCUCGGUAACCCCCCCAGUCAUCGUUACCAUGGCGCCUCUUGUUUCCACAGUAACCUCCCAGAUGGCACUGAUGGUGCGUAUUUAGUCUCUAAAAAGACGGUGGUGGAAUUCUGUUUUAAUGGAGUGAAAACAAAAAAAAGAAAGAAAAACCGCCUCACGCACCCAGCAGACGCCACUGUCACUGAUCUGCGAGCUCGCUCUGUGACGUCAUCAUAACGAACAAAAACAAAUUAGAGUGAAGUGGCUAGUGGUUACAAAUUGACUUCAUGGACUUCCACCCAAAAGAGAAAGUUGGUGGAGAAGCACAGCGCAACAAAGAGGGAGCCAGCGUGUGAGGAAUUAUGAAUGGACUUGGGCCACGUGUGCGUCUGGAUGACCUAAGUGCGCUACCGCGGGUACUCACCAGAGGCCGCUGUUCUCCCACUGAUGAUACGGGUGCAAGUUGUUUCUUCAUUCUGCCCAGAGCUCCUGGACACCCUGACGACCCCAAUUCCACGACCCCUCCCAUUUAUAGGGGCUCAGUGACUCUGGUCUUCCUGUCGGCCUGAAAGUUGAGCUGAGAUAAAAGUCUCUCUGCCUACAUUCUCCUCAUCCUCCUUAAACUUCAAACAAGUGGUACAAACUGUUUUUGCCCUCCUUCCCCAGUGGACGGCACUUCAAUCCAGAUUGGAAGAAAAAUGCACAAUAUGUAUAUAUAUAUAUAUACAUAUAUACUGUAUGUAUAAAUACAUAUAUGUAUAUAUAAAUACACAUAUAUGUGUGUACAUAUAUAUGUAAAAAAAAUAUCUGUAACAUAUUCCACUUAUAGUUUUGUGGAUGCAAUUUACAACUGAUUGUAAUCUUUAGUUACAUACUGUUGUAAUCAUGAUAGAAUCCAAUAUUGGGAGAACUGUGUGUUGCAGACAUUUCCUCGUACGACUUUCUAUUUAAAAUUCAAACUAUGAUGGGGCCUCAGGAAACAUUUUUUGCAAAGUACAUUUAAAUCCUGAACUUAGCAGAAUUUCUACAUGCCGUUACUCAAGUGUCAAAGUGGCAAAUAAUGGACAGUAAUUGUAGUGUAGUUACAGUAAUUGCCUCGAGUCAAAAGUCAUAAAGAAAGAAAGAAACUGAAGCCAACCAUGAUUUGCUGAUACAAAACUGUGACACAAAUCAAAGACUGUUAGCCAUAUGCCUUUGUUAGCUCUGUGUGCUAUGUGAAACACACACACACACACACACACACACACAAGCGCGCUGGUUGCUGCUAUUCCCCUGACCUCCACACGGAGAACUAAACCAAGGGCACACACACACAGACACACAAACAACAAACGUCACUGGAUGGCUCGCUUUUAUCCCAGAGUGCACUGGUGUUUUUUUGGGAUGGGGCUGAUUGUUGUCAAGACUGUGUGUGCCAGUAUUUGUUGUAUGUUGAUUUGUGCUGUCUUUAACAUGACCCAUAUAAACAGAUUAUUACGA